RNAcentral lists this ribosomal RNA (223 nucleotides) under uncultured bacterium. Its description in RNAcentral is "partial 16S ribosomal RNA". It matches the Rfam family "Bacterial small subunit ribosomal RNA", at positions 524 to 746 of the family's 1533-position model. The record is from RNAcentral.
UACGGAGGGUGCAAGCGUUGUCCGGAAUUAUUGGGCGUAAAGAGCUUGUAGGCGGUUUGUCGCGUCUGCUGUGAAAAUCCGGGGCUCAACCCCGGACUUGCAGUGGGUACGGGCAGACUAGAGUGUGGUAGGGGAGACUGGAAUUCCUGGUGUAGCGGUGAAAUGCGCAGAUAUCAGGAGGAACACCGGUGGCGAAGGCGGGUCUCUGGGCCGAUACUGACGC